RNAcentral lists this long non-coding RNA (433 nucleotides) under Nicotiana benthamiana. Its description in RNAcentral is "long non-coding RNA (NBEN_LNC032496)". Lineage: Eukaryota; Viridiplantae; Streptophyta; Magnoliopsida; Solanales; Solanaceae. The record is from RNAcentral.
CAAAGGCUACAAAUUAUAUAAUCUAGAUACUAACAAGCUUGUGAUAAGUCGGGACGUGGAGCUUGAUGAAGAAAGAGAAUGGAAUUUUUGUUCUCACGAGGACUUUAAUUCCAUUAUUCCAACCGAAGAAGAAGAACAAAGACCUACAGCAGAGGAUGCCCAGCGAGAGCUAACUACUCCACCUACCUCGCCAACAGCAGUUCAAGGGACUUUAAUUCCAUUAUUCCAACCGAAGAAGAAGAACAAAGAUCUACAGCAGAGGAUGCCCAGCGAGAGCUAACUACUCCAUCUACCUCGCCAACAGCAGUUCAAGAUGACUCGUCACCAUCGUUUCUGAAUGAAAGGAGCGAGGAACGUGCAAGGAGUUUGGAAGACAUUUAUGGAGAGACUGAAAGGUUAGAGGACCUAACUCUUAUUUGUCUAUUUGCUGAUU